GUCCCCAUCGUCUAGAGGCCCAGGACGCUGCCCUUUCAAGGCGGUAACGGGGGUUCGAAUCCCCCUGGGGACG
This 73-nucleotide transfer RNA is filed under the name Vulgatibacter incomptus. It matches the Rfam family "tRNA". From Rfam's summary of the family: Transfer RNA (tRNA) molecules are approximately 80 nucleotides in length. Lineage: Bacteria; Pseudomonadati; Myxococcota; Myxococcia; Myxococcales; Vulgatibacteraceae. The record is from Rfam by way of RNAcentral.